UGGUGCCAGCAGCCGCGGUAAUUCCAGCUCCAAUAGCGUAUAUUAAAGUUGUUGCAGUUAAAAAGCUCGUAGUUGAAUUUCGGGGUUAGUAGGUUGGUCAUGCCUCUGGUAUGUACUGGUCUCACUGAUUCCUCCUUCCUUAUGAACCGUAAUGCCAUUAAUUUGGUGUUGCGGGGAAUUUGGACUGUUACUUUGAAAAAAUUAGAGUGUUUAAAGCAAGCUAACGCUUGAAUACAUUAGCAUGGAAUAAUGAAAUAGGACGUUCGAUCUUAUUUUGUUGGUUUCUAGGAUUGACGUAAUGAUUAAUAGGGAUAGUUGGGGGCAUUAGUAUUCAAUUGUCAGAGGUGAAAUUCUUGGAUUUAUUGAAGACUAACUACUGCGAAAGCAUUUGCCAAGGAUGUUUUCAUUAAUCAAGAACGAAAGUUAGGGGAUCGAAGACGAUCAGAUACCGUCGUAGUCUUAACCAUAAACUAUGCCGACUAGGGA
Molecule: ribosomal RNA, 486 nt
Filed under: uncultured Glomeromycotina
Lineage: Eukaryota; Fungi; Glomeromycota
Also listed under: 1 other name
Description: SSU rRNA
Rfam family: Eukaryotic small subunit ribosomal RNA
Source: RNAcentral